This 776-nucleotide long non-coding RNA is filed under the name Gossypium barbadense (sea-island cotton). RNAcentral describes it as "long non-coding RNA (GBAR_LNC013175)". Lineage: Eukaryota; Viridiplantae; Streptophyta; Magnoliopsida; Malvales; Malvaceae. The record is from RNAcentral.
UCUUUUUGUUUGAAAGCGCAUCCCGAACAGAUCAAAAUUUGACCCUUGUUAAACCCUUUUUUUUUUUCUUCAAUUAAAAUUAAUAUUUUAACGCCAAUCCUGGAAAUAGGCAGCGCCGUCGGGCCUGUUUCGGUUCUUUUCAGGAUGGCUUGCGCAUGAUGCCUUUCCGUCACUUGUUAAGGAUAAUUGGUUGACUAAUGGUAUGCUUAGGGAAUCAAUUGAGCGAUUUACUCAGGCUGCGAGGAAAUGGAAUAGAAACGUCUAUGCGCAAAUUACGCAGAGGAAAGAGAAGUUGAUGCGGCGAAUUGCUUGGAUACAAACGGCGUUGGAGUUCCAGAAAUUGGAACGACUCACUCAUCUUGAACGAGACUUACGGGGGGGAACUAGAGAUUACCUUAGAUCAAGAGGAACAUGAAAUAUUUCCAUGGUCGUGCUUCCUCGAGACGUCGACAUAAUAAAAUUAAAGCCCUUGAGCUGUCGAAUGGUGAUUGGCGCUUUGAUGAGGAAUAGUUAAAGGGGUUAGCAGUUUCCUUCUUCCAAUAGUUAUAUACGGUGGACAACCCAUGCAUGAGAAAUAUCUUGUUCGGGGUCAGUGGAGGAGCCACGUUGAGGCCCAGGGGUAUGGCGUCCCAAAGUUUAAUUUUUUUCAAUUUAGUCCUUUGUAAAUUUACACUAUGGUCCUCUCAAAAAUAUAAGUAGAACCCUAAGAUUUAAGAUUUUUGCAAUUUUCCCCUUUGUAUAUAUAUUAUAGCCCUUCUAAAAAUAUAAGUAGGCCC